This 410-nucleotide ribosomal RNA is filed under the name uncultured bacterium. Its description in RNAcentral is "bacterial SSU rRNA". It matches the Rfam family "Bacterial small subunit ribosomal RNA", at positions 370 to 772 of the family's 1533-position model. The record is from RNAcentral.
AAUGGACGGAAGUCUGACGGAGCGACGCCGCGUGGAUGAUGAAGGCCGAAAGGUUGUAAAGUUCUUUUGCUGGGGAAGAAUAAGCCUAGGAGGGAAUGCCUAGGUGAUGACAUGAACCGGCGAAUAAGCCCCGGCCAACUACGUGCCAGCAGCCGCGGUAACACGUAGGGGGCGAGCGUUGUUCGGAAUUACUGGGCGUAAAGGGCAUGUAGGCGGUCUGGUAAGCCUGGCGUGAAAGACUGCAGCUUAACUGCAGGGAUGCGCUGGGAACUGCUGGGCUUGAGUGACGGAGAGGGAGCUGGAAUUCCUGGUGUAGGGGUGAAAUCUGUAGAUAUCAGGAAGAACACCGAUGGCGAAGGCAAGCUCCUGGCCGAUGACUGACGCUGAGGUGCGAAAGUGUGGGGAUCAAA